GUAGUCAUAUGCUUGUCUCAAAGAUUAAGCCAUGCAUGUCUAAGUAUAAGCACUUUAUACUGUGAAACUGCGAAUGGCUCAUUAAAUCAGUUAUCGUUUAUUUGAUAGUACCUUACUACAUGGAUACCUGUGGUAAUUCUAGAGCUAAUACAUGCUGAAAACCUCGACUUCGGAAGGGGUGUAUUUAUUAGAUAAAAAACCAAUGCCCUUCGGGGCUCCUUGGUGAAUCAUAAUAACUUAACGAAUCGCAUGGCCUUGCGCCGGCGAUGGUUCAUUCAAAUUUCUGCCCUAUCAACUUUCGAUGGUAGGAUAGUGGCCUACCAUGGUGGCAACGGGUAACGGGGAAU
RNAcentral lists this ribosomal RNA (347 nucleotides) under Aspergillus niger. RNAcentral's name for it is "SSU rRNA". It matches the Rfam family "Eukaryotic small subunit ribosomal RNA", at positions 20 to 370 of the family's 1831-position model. RNAcentral also lists the same sequence under 1 other name. Lineage: Eukaryota; Fungi; Ascomycota; Eurotiomycetes; Eurotiales; Aspergillaceae. The record is from RNAcentral.